UCAGGUGGCUAUAGCGCCGGGGUUCCACCUCUUCCCAUCCCGAACAGAGAAGUUAAGCCCGUCCACGCCGAUGGUACUGCCCACAAGGUGGGAGAGUAGGUAGCCGCCGUCU
This 112-nucleotide ribosomal RNA is filed under the name Aeriscardovia sp. The record is from RNAcentral. Lineage: Bacteria; Bacillati; Actinomycetota; Actinomycetes; Bifidobacteriales; Bifidobacteriaceae.